Molecule: non-coding RNA, 105 nt
Organism: Annulohypoxylon bovei var. microspora
Lineage: Eukaryota; Fungi; Ascomycota; Sordariomycetes; Xylariales; Hypoxylaceae
Source: the annotation of a GenBank genome assembly
GGUCCCGUAGCGCAAUUGGUUAGAGCGUCGUACUAAUAUUAUCCUAAAUACCUAGGAAAUAUUACGUAAAUGCGAAGGUUGAGAGUUCAAUCCUCUCCGGGACCA